This 226-nucleotide long non-coding RNA is filed under the name Mytilus galloprovincialis (Mediterranean mussel). Lineage: Eukaryota; Metazoa; Mollusca; Bivalvia; Mytilida; Mytilidae. The record is from RNAcentral.
UGAAAUGUCUCGCCUUCUAUACUAAUCAUUGAUAUAUGUUGAUAGUCCUAAGUAUAAAGCUAAGCUUUAUUACAACUGUCACAUAAACUUAACAUUAACCAAGAUAACUAAACAAAGACCAAUGAACCUUGAAAAGAGGUCCAAGUCAGAUGAACCAUGCCAGGCAGACCCGGUACAGCUAACAAUGCUUCUAUACAACAUAUAUAGUUGACACAUUACUUAUAGU